RNAcentral lists this unclassified non-coding RNA (3020 nucleotides) under Penaeus chinensis. Its description in RNAcentral is "protein kinase C-like, transcript variant X1". Lineage: Eukaryota; Metazoa; Arthropoda; Malacostraca; Decapoda; Penaeidae. The record is from RNAcentral.
GCCUCGCUCGGCGGCGGCGCGGGCGGGGGAGCGGAGCGGCGGCAGGCGGCGGCAGUGCCAUCUAGCGGCGGGCGUGGCAGCGAAGGCGCCGUCCCCGCAACACAGCCACAGCCAGUGACGUCACACCAGCGUAAUGGGCACCAGUUUUAUCGAAUGGUGUUGAAUGGGUGACAGUACGGUCGGCCUUACAGUCACUUUUGCCCCAUUUCCCUAUGCACUACUGGGACCUAUUGGUGAGGUGAGACGGGGCUUGUGAGCACCUGAGCAGAGAGAACACGGGCGAUGUUCACGGGCAGCCUUAAAGUGAAAAUAUGCGAAGCUACCGAUCUCCGCCUUACCGACUGUAUGACCCGCUAUGUCGGAGUAGCAGGGGUGGGAAAAGGUCCUCAAGACCAAACCCUGGAUCCUUACGUGACGCUGGAGGUGGACGAGGUACACUGGACCAAGACGCAGGCCCGACAGAAGACCUUUACGCCCAUAUGGAACGAGAGCUUUGAGCAAGACGUGAUGGGCGCCGUCCAGCUCGGCCUCAAGAUCUUCCAUGACUCCGCGGUCGGCAACGAUGACUUCGUGGCCGACGCUUCCUUGCUCUUCGAGGAAAUAUGUGCCGAGAACCAGACCCAUGCCGACAUCUGGGUGGACUUAGAACCUCAGGGGAAGCUACACGUGGUGAUUGAACUAAAAUGGGCACCACCAGAAGAUGGAGGCGUCCGCCCACGAGAAUUCAGGGAACGGCAGGGCUUCAACCGGCGACGGGGUGCCAUGAGGAGGCGGGUUCAUCAGGUCAAUGGUCACAAAUUCAUGGCUACGUUCCUACGGCAACCUACAUUCUGCUCGCAUUGUCGAGAAUUCAUAUGGGGUCUAGGGAAACAAGGAUAUCAGUGUCAAGUAUGUACUUGCGUAGUCCACAAACGCUGUCACCAGUCGGUUGUCACACGAUGUCCAGGAAGCAAGAGUGAGACCAUCAAUGAGGAACCUUCAGUCCAGGGAAGUUGUCAACCGCGAUUCAACGUCAAUGUGCCACAUCGGUUUUCUGUUCACUCCUACAAACGGUUCACAUUCUGUGACCAUUGUGGCUCAUUACUUUAUGGCCUUAUUCGUCAGGGUCUCCAAUGUGAAGUAUGCAACAUGAAUGUUCACAAGAGAUGCCAAAAGAAUGUAGCCAACAAUUGUGGGAUAGACGUAAAACAGUUAUCAGAAAUUCUAGCCACCAUGGGUAUUCGGCCCCAAGAUGAAGCAGCCAAACGCAAGAAGAAGUCUGUUAGUGAGACUAAGUUAUCAUCAGCCACCGCCCCUGUUAGUGUCCCAGGAAUCAUCGGAGAAGUUGAAGUCCCAGGUGAAAUGAAUGAGGAAGAGCUAAGACUAAGGAUUGAAGCUCAGCGUAUCAUGGACAAGAAGAUGAAGGAACGCUGUGCAGAAGAAGGACUAGAUGCCAAGUCAAAGCCACACGAUACUUCUUUAGAUGUCAUGCUUGGUGGGAAGAAGGUAGACCUGGAUGACUUCUCAUUCAUUAAAGUGCUUGGCAAAGGAAGUUUUGGAAAAGUAAUGCUAGCUGAACUCAAAGGGACAGAUGAAGUCUAUGCCAUCAAGGUGCUUAAGAAAGACGUGAUCCUACAAGAUGAUGAUGUAGAAUGUACAAUGACUGAGCGGCGGAUCUUAGCGAUGGCUGCCCACCACCCCUUCCUCACUGCCCUCCACUCUUGCUUUCAAACCAAGGAUCGAUUAUUCUUUGUUAUGGAGUAUGUUAACGGUGGCGACCUAAUGUUCCAAAUUCAGAAGGCUCGCAAGUUCACAGAGUCACGUGCAAGAUUUUAUGCAGCUGAGGUCACGUUGGCCUUACAGUUCCUCCAUAAAAAUGGUGUUAUUUACAGAGAUUUGAAAUUAGAUAAUAUUCUACUAGACAGUGAAGGACAUUGUAAAAUAGCUGAUUUUGGUAUGUGUAAGGAAGGCAUCAGGGAUAAUAUUACAACAACCACCUUCUGUGGAACACCAGAUUACAUUGCACCAGAGAUUCUUAAAGAGUUGGAUUAUGGUGCAAGUGUUGACUGGUGGGCACUAGGAGUUCUCAUGUAUGAAAUGAUGGCAGGACAGCCACCAUUUGAGGCUGAUAAUGAAGAUGAUCUCUUUGAGUCCAUCCUGCAUGAAGAAGUUUUGUAUCCAGUGUGGCUUUCAAAGGAAGCAGUUUCUAUACUGAAAGGGUUUAUGACAAAGGAACCAUCCAAGCGGUUGGGCUGCGUUGCAGAGCGAGGAGGAGAAUUGGCAAUUCGUAACCACAAAUUCUUCCGAGAGAUAGACUGGGAGGCUCUUGAGCAGCGCAAAGUUAAACCACCAUUUACACCUAAGAUAAAAGGACGUAAGGAUACAGUCAACUUUGAUGCAGAGUUCACCAAGGAAGAGCCAACUCUCACCUUUAUUAAUGAAGAAGUUGUUCGUGCUAUCAACCAAGACGAGUUUAGAGGAUUUUCUUUUGUUAAUCGUGAAUUUAAGUCCAUGGCGGCUGCACCAUGUCAAACCUAAGUGCAAAUGCAGCACAGUACAAAGUGCUAAAGUCUCCCCAGGAAACUUGAUGUGCAGAUUAUAUGAGAGGAUUCUUUAGGGAAGAAAGCAGAUGAAGGAUGGGAAAUAAGCAAUGAAUAAUAGUAAGCCCACCUUUCCUGCAUAAGUGGUAACCCAGACCUGCAAAGGGCAAGAAUGACCCUUCAGCCCAACCCCUCCGACAAGGAGUAUAGAGCCCAAUGCCCAGCUUUUUUCUUAUAUAUGACCCAGUGCUGCGUCUUGGUGCCUCUUCUAGAUGGCCUUCAAAGACAGAAGAGCUUUGGGUCAACUCCUUCUACCCAUGGACUACUGUGCCAAAAUCAACUGUCUCCCUCACUUCAAACAUCAGUGUGAUCGUCUGUAUAAUAUUCUGAUUGCUGUAAUGAUAUGUCAAUGGGUAUUUUUGUCUCCUCAAAAAAUACUUAUGUCUUUCUCUCAGCUGACUGUAUGAGAAGCGUGAUAUAAAUAUAUUUAAGUGUUCAAAA